UUGAGUGGCGAACGGGUGAGUAACACGUGGGCAACCUACCCAAAAGAGGGGGAUAACACUUGGAAACAGGUGCUAAUACCGCAUAACCAUAGUUACCGCAUGGUAACUAUGUAAAAGGUGGCUAUACUACCGCUUUUGGAUGGGCCCGCGGCGCAUUAGCUAGUUGGUAGGGUAAAGGCUUACCAAGGCAAUGAUGCGUAGCCGAAUUGAGAGGUUGAUCGGCCACAUUGGGACUGAGACACGGCCCAAACUCCUACGGAAGGCAGCAG
This 269-nucleotide ribosomal RNA is filed under the name uncultured bacterium. RNAcentral's name for it is "partial 16S ribosomal RNA". It matches the Rfam family "Bacterial small subunit ribosomal RNA", at positions 91 to 354 of the family's 1533-position model. The record is from RNAcentral.